Molecule: ribosomal RNA, 500 nt
Filed under: uncultured Glomeromycotina
Lineage: Eukaryota; Fungi; Glomeromycota
Description: partial small subunit ribosomal RNA
Rfam family: Eukaryotic small subunit ribosomal RNA
Source: RNAcentral
CCAAUAGCGUAUAUUAAAGUUGUUGCAGUUAAAAAGCUCGUAGUUGAAUUUCGGGGUCAGUAAGUUGGUCGUGCCACUGGUAUGCACUGGCUUUACUGAUUCCUCCUUCUUGUAGAACCGUAAUGCCAUUAAGUUGGUGUUGCGGGGAAACAGGACUGUUACUUUGAAAAAAUUAGAGUGUUUAAAGCAAGCUAACGCUUGAAUACAUUAGCAUGGAAUAAUGAAAUAGGACGAACGAUCCUAUUUUGUUGGUUUCUAGGAUUGACGUAAUGAUUAAUAGGGGUAGUUGGGGGCAUUAGUAUUCAAUUGUCAGAGGUGAAAUUCUUGGAUUUAUUGAAGACUAACUACUGCGAAAGCAUUUGCCAAGGAUGUUUUCAUUAAUCAAGAACGAAAGUUAGGGGAUCGAAGACGAUCAGAUACCGUCGUAGUCUUAACCAUAAACUAUGCCGACUAGGGAUCGGAUGAUGUUAAUUUUAUAAUGACUCAUUCGGCGCCUUACG